GUGAAUCAUCAAAUCUUUGAACGCAAAUUGCACUCUUUUCGGAGAGUAUGACUGUUUGAGGGUCAGCCUCUAUAAAUCGUCAUCGUUGCUGUUUCGCGGUGGAGUUCGUGGGAAGUUGGGUCAUCUUAAAUCCUUUUGACUUAAGCGACUUAAACUUUUCUUUUGGUUUCAUGAAGGUUUCUAAGUUCUCUU
Molecule: unclassified non-coding RNA, 192 nt
Filed under: Glomus sp.
Lineage: Eukaryota; Fungi; Glomeromycota; Glomeromycetes; Glomerales; Glomeraceae
Description: partial contains 5.8S ribosomal RNA and internal transcribed spacer 2
Rfam family: 5.8S ribosomal RNA (bases 1-65)
Source: RNAcentral